This is a non-coding RNA of Camellia sinensis, 459 nucleotides long. Lineage: Eukaryota; Viridiplantae; Streptophyta; Magnoliopsida; Ericales; Theaceae. The record is from RefSeq and is a predicted model, not a curated record.
CGGGGCAACAGCUCAAAAACGUGAUUUUUGAGUCAUUUCUUAGAUUUUCUUUUCCUCACUUCUUCUUCCCUCUUCCAUGUCCGAAACCCUAGCUCCCAAAACCUUGAUUUCCUCCACUUUUCUCAACAAAUUAACCAUGAAUCUUGCAUCAAGGAUGGAGAAUAAGAGGAGAUCACCACUUUCUACCGAAUGGAAUUCCGAAAUUUUUGAGGGCACACUCCAGGAGGGGCAAGCACUCCGUUGUAGCACUGUGAGUAGUAGUACAAGAAUGUACACUUUAUAUACUAUUGACAAUUAUUGUCACUAAUCCUCUGUUCUUUGUAAGUAUUAUUCAAACAAUUAUGACAAUUGGAAAGCAAUGUGAACUUAUAUGAACGCUGAAAGAUUUGCGUACGUCGGUAUGAUUUUGGAAUCCUUAUAUUCCGUUAAUGACGAAUAUUAGCCCUUUGUUAUUUAUCA